GAUGAAGAACGCAGCGAAAUGCGAUAAGUAGUGUGAAUUGCAGAAUUCAGUGAAUCAUCGAAUCUUUGAACGCACAUUGCGCCCUUUGGUAUUCCAAAGGGCAUGCCUGUUCAAGCGUCAUUUGUACCCUCAAGCUUUGCUUGGUGUUGGGCGUCUUGUCUCUAGCUUUGCUGGAGACUCGCCUUAAAGUAAUUGGCAGCCGGCCUACUGGUUUCGGAGCGCAGCACAAGUCGCACUCUCUAUCAGCAAAGGUCUAGCAUCCAUUAAGCCUUUUUUUCAACUUUUGACCUCGGAUCAGGUAGGGAUACCCGCUGAACUUAAGCAUAUCAAUAAGCGGAGGA
Molecule: unclassified non-coding RNA, 341 nt
Filed under: soil metagenome
Description: partial contains 5.8S ribosomal RNA, internal transcribed spacer 2, and large subunit ribosomal RNA
Rfam family: 5.8S ribosomal RNA (bases 1-120)
Source: RNAcentral